Molecule: long non-coding RNA, 282 nt
Filed under: Struthio camelus australis
Lineage: Eukaryota; Metazoa; Chordata; Aves; Struthioniformes; Struthionidae
Description: lncRNA (ENSSCUG00000006508.1)
Source: RNAcentral
UUUUUUUUUACUUGUAGAUACACAUAUAACUAAAGCUGUGGUUUCACAAGCUCUUUGAGCUCAUAGAAAUGAAGAUUUUUACAAAAAGGAACUUCUUUCUGCUGGGAAGGCUGUCUGAUCGACGUAUUAGCUGUUGGUCACACGCAUCUGGCCCGAAAACAGCAGGCAUCUGAAACUGCUUGGACCUGCUGGAGUCCACCUGGUCGAUCCACGGAUGCUGUAAACUGGUUGCUGACCAAAGAGUGGGAGAACUCCAGGAUUCCUCCCCAGAAAAGAGUGCCU